GAUUAGAUCCCUGUAGGCCAUGCGUAAACGUGGAACUAGAUUUGGGGACCAUUCACGGUUCCGUGUCGCAGCUAACGCAUUAAGUUCCCCCCCUGGGGAGUACGGCCGCAAGGCUAAAACUCAAAGGAAUUGACGGGGGCCCGCACAAGCGGCGGAGCAUGCGGAUUAAUUCGAUGCAACGCGAAGAACCUUACCAAGACUUGACAUAUACGAGAACGGGCCAGAAAUGGUCAACUCUUUGGACACUCGUAAACAGGUGGUGCAUGGUUGUCGUCAGCUCGUGUCGUGAGAUGUUGGGUUAAGUCCCGCAACGAGCGCAACCCUCGUCCUAUGUUGCCAGCACGUAAUGGUGGGAACUCAUGGGAUACUGCCGGGGUCAACUCGGAGGAAGGUGGGGAUGACGUCAAAUCAUCAUGCCCCUUAUGUCUUGGGCUUCACGCAUGCUACAAUGGCCGGUACAAAGGGCUGCGAUACCGUAAGGUGGAGCGAAUCCCAAAAAGCCGGUCUCAGUUCGGAUUGAGGUCUGCAACUCGACCUCAUGAAGUCGGAGUCGCUAGUAAUCGCAGAUCAGCAACGCUGCGGUGAAUACGUUCCCGGGCCUUGUACACACCGCCCGUCAAGUCAUGAAAGUCGGUAACACCCGAAGCCGGUGGCCUAACCCCUUGUGGGAAGG
RNAcentral lists this ribosomal RNA (673 nucleotides) under Leifsonia sp. 555-1. RNAcentral's name for it is "bacterial SSU rRNA". It matches the Rfam family "Bacterial small subunit ribosomal RNA", at positions 776 to 1450 of the family's 1533-position model. Lineage: Bacteria; Bacillati; Actinomycetota; Actinomycetes; Micrococcales; Microbacteriaceae. The record is from RNAcentral.